UGUGCAAGAGGUUGUUGAGGUGGUGGCAGAAAACAACAUAUUUUCAAAAUCUUGUGAAAAAAAAUGGAUGUCUGUGAAUCAGCAAAACAAGUCAUAUGUUAUGUGCAACUCUCCUCUUGUAAUGCCCAGAGUAUGUAGGAAGUGAAGUAUAACUUUAUUUUGCAAUUUCAAGAUCCAGAGUUUAAUAAUGAACUUUGUAAUUUGACUGAUUUUUCAGAGCUCCUCCCUUUGAUUGAACUGAUGCCACUGUCAUCAAGUGACACCCAGACAUCAAGUGAAAUAAUGAGUGAUACUCCAAGCACAGCAGAUACAAUACUGAUCUUUAGAUCACCCAGGAAAAGAAAAUAGCUUGGCCUGAAGUCUAUUUGAUUCCAAAAUGUUCUGUUGACGUAGAGUAUAGGCUCAGUCAAGCAAAUUUAAUUUCCUUGAGUGAUGGAACACACUUAAAAGUGACAAUGGAGUUGAAACAUGACAUUCUUCAGAAGCUGGCAGAGAACAUAUGCUCCUUCAAAGCUUACCCUACCUCUUUGGAUAUACAUGAUGUUGCUAAGGCAUUAGUGGCUGCUCACCCAUGCCUUCAAGAACCAGGAUCACCUUCUGGAUACUGUGGAUGGACUAACAGUUUAAAAGACAAAAUGGGCAAUUACAGGUCAAAAAUGAGGAGUCGUGGACACAGAAAUUAUGGUUAAUGCUGGGAAAAGAGGGUGAUUUUCUGCCAGUUGUGAACCACCUAACAAGAACAUUACGAAACCAAGAAAAGGAGAAGUUAGUUACCUACCUGAUGUUCCAGAUGGGCAGGAUGCCUCCAGCCUUGAAUUAUGCAGAUGGGAUUUGGUGGAUGAAAUGAUAAAAAAAAAUGAAUGCAGUCUUUAUCAGUGCAAAGAUGGACCUGACGCUAUCUUUCAGAAGAAAAGAAGUUGUAAUUGACAAGGCCCCAGUAAGUCAUAUGCUCCAGUGUUGGCCAGGGCUAUUUUUAGAAAGUCAGAAUUUAGCACAGUUGUUGGGAGGAAUCUUAAACAGGAGUUUUAUGGCUCUUGAUCAUCACAGUCCACAGUUGAUUCAGAUCUUCGGGUCAAAGAGAGGUCUCACAGUGCAGUGAUCAUCUUCAACAAACCAAGACGUUGCUGACAUGAGAUGUGCUGUUAUAAGGGUGCUUCCAGUAAUACUUGGUGAUGACCCAACUGAGUUCUUUAAAGCAUGUUUUGUAAGUAUUGUUUGUUUCUAGGGGGGCACAGUGGCUUAGUGGUUAGCACGUUCGCCUCACACCUCCAGGGUCGGGGUUCGAUUCUCACCUCCACCUUGUGUGUGUGGAGUUUGCAUGUUCUCCCCGUGCCUCGAGGGUUUACUCUGGGUACUCCGGUUUCCUCCCCCGGUCCAUAGACAUGCAUGGUAGGUUGAUUGACAUCUCUGGAAAAUUGUCCCUAGUGUGUGUGAUCGCGUGAGUGAAUGAGUGUCUGUGCCCUGCGAUGGGUUGGCACUCCGUCCAGGGUGUAUCCUGCCUUGAUGCCCGAUGACGCCUGAGAUAGGCACAGGCUCCCCGUGACCCGAGGUAGUUCGGAUAAGCGGUAGAAGAUGAAUGAAUG
Long non-coding RNA from Tachysurus vachellii, 1583 nucleotides. RefSeq lists it as uncharacterized. The record is from RefSeq and is a predicted model, not a curated record. Lineage: Eukaryota; Metazoa; Chordata; Actinopteri; Siluriformes; Bagridae. The transcript has 3 exons.